AGCCUGAACGCUGGCGGCGUGGUUAAGACAUGCAAGUCGUACGGUGUAGCAAUACACAGUGGCGAACGGGUGAGUAAUGAAUCGCUAAUGUACCCCGGACUUUGGGAUAGCUGCCCGAAAGGGCAGGUAAUACCAGAUGACAUAACUUUGUCGCAUGACAGAGUUCUCAAAGGUCCGCCGGUCUGGGAGCAGGCGAUUUCGUAUCAGCUAGUUGGUAGGGUAACGGCCUACCAAGGCGACGACGCGUAGCCGGACUGAGAGGUUGGCCGGCCACAUUGGGACUGAGACACUGCCCAGACUCCUACGGGGGCUGCAGUAACGAAUCUUCCGCAAUGCACGAAAGUGUGACGGAGCGACGCCGCGUGUGGGACGAAGCCCUUCGGGGUGUAAACCACUGUCAAGGGAAAGAAAGUUCUGAUCUACCCUAGGAGGAAGGAGGCGGCUAACGUCUGCGCCAGCAGCCGC
This 465-nucleotide ribosomal RNA is filed under the name uncultured bacterium. RNAcentral describes it as "SSU rRNA". It matches the Rfam family "Bacterial small subunit ribosomal RNA", at positions 26 to 518 of the family's 1533-position model. The record is from RNAcentral.